AUAUAGGUCUGUAGCAGUUUGGGUCUAGAGUGUCAAAAAUAUAAAUAGUAAAGUAAAGUACAGAUAUCCCCGAAAACGACUUAAGUAGUACGUUCAAGUAUGUUUUACUUAAGGACACGUCACUGGACACAUCAACAAACAAAACCCAUCCCACUCCUUCAGUCACUGUCCAAUCCAAAACAGGAGCCUGUGAAGGAAGAACAGUCAUCGACACGAUUCCUUGCAAGACCUCGGCUGGCCCACUACUGCAUCACUGUCACGGCAGGUAACCUGGCUUUGUCACGACCGUCAUGGGAAGAAGUGGACCAAAGCGCAGCGUGGACCAAGACGGGACUGGAGCGUAGUAGUCCACACUGACUAAACACCUCCCUCUGCAACUGGAUCCUGGACUUCCUGACGGGCCACCCCCAGGUGGUCAGGGUAGGUAGCAACACAUCUGCCACGCUGAUCCUCAACACUGGAGCCCCCCAGGGGUAC
Long non-coding RNA from Oncorhynchus gorbuscha (pink salmon), 477 nucleotides. RefSeq lists it as uncharacterized. Lineage: Eukaryota; Metazoa; Chordata; Actinopteri; Salmoniformes; Salmonidae. The record is from RefSeq and is a predicted model, not a curated record. The transcript has 3 exons.